AAAAAUUUAGUUAAAUUAAAUAACAUUAGUUUGUCAAACUAAAAUUAUUAUAAAAUAAUAAUUUUUA
RNAcentral lists this transfer RNA (67 nucleotides) under Monotomidae sp. KM-2017. RNAcentral's name for it is "tRNA-Asp". Lineage: Eukaryota; Metazoa; Arthropoda; Insecta; Coleoptera; Monotomidae. The record is from RNAcentral.